Molecule: small nuclear RNA, 99 nt
Organism: Monodelphis domestica (gray short-tailed opossum)
Lineage: Eukaryota; Metazoa; Chordata; Mammalia; Didelphimorphia; Didelphidae
Source: Ensembl
UUGAUCAUUAUAUAUUUUAAAACUAGAAUGAUACAGAGAAAGUUAGAAUGGCCUAUGAACAAAUAAGAUGCACAAAUUCAUGAAAUGUUCAAUAUUUUU